Molecule: long non-coding RNA, 2028 nt
Filed under: Vulpes vulpes (red fox)
Lineage: Eukaryota; Metazoa; Chordata; Mammalia; Carnivora; Canidae
Description: lncRNA (ENSVVUG00000027398.1)
Source: RNAcentral
AUGCGCACACGAGGGCAGAGGAGCUGCAGCUCCCCCACACUGCGGCCGGUUGAGGGCAUCAAGCGCACCCUGAGCCCUACGGUCACCCGCCCCUUCUCUGCAAGGGCUGUGCCCCAAGGCCUCCGGGGGAUGCCCGAAGCCCCAGGUGGUACCGGACCGCACCGGCGGAAGUCGGCCGACCCACCGCGGAGGACCUGGGCAGAGCAAGACGCGAGCAACAGGUCACCCAUAAUAAGACAGAACCACUGCAACGACGACGUCCUGUGCUGAAAGUCACGUGAGCCUCUCUCCCUCACUCUCUUACUCACCAUCUUCCGGUCACGAGGUGAGGCGAGAGGAUGCCCGCCCGCCCCCAGGUGGCGGGACCAGGGAGGCGGUGACGCAGGCGCGCCGUGACGUCACGCCCCUGGAGGCCGGCGAUCCGCCGUCCGCUGAUUCGUCAGAAGGAAGAGCAUCCUCCUCCUGGCUGCUGCUGAUUCGUCAGAAGGAGGAGCACCCGCCUCCUGACCGGGCGUGACGCCAUCCCUGAAACUUGGGGAAGCAAAACCUGCAGAUCAGGAGGGGAAGGCGGUGUUUUCCCCGCUUGGCCCUUGGCGAGGACUAGGGGACGCCUUGGGGGAUAAGAUUCAUUGCUGACCUGGCUGGGCUCAUGAGCUCUAACAGACAUGUAAUUCUUAUCUCAUGCAAAAACCCUAAUUUUCCGACUCCUCCUAAAUAGGUUCCCAAAAUGAAUUCCUAGAAUCCCAAGCCCUGCUCACUUUUAUUUCUCUUCAGGGGGGCAAGUUGCAAGGUUGUCUCCCUGAAAGGCAUUGGGUCCACCAGAGGUGGACACACAGGCCCUCGGUUGGGUCCACUUGGUUGGUGAAAAAUCGUAUCUUGUUUUACUUUGAUCUCUUUCAUCUCCAGGGAAACUACAUUUUUAAAAUGCAUUUGUUGGUGAUUUUUCAAAAAAAAAGGCUCCAUGAUAGCGAGGAUAUUAAUUUUUCACUUGUUACAUACAUCACAUAUUUUCCUCGAUAUUUUUCCCCUCUAAUUUUAUUUGUGAUGGGUUUUUCCCUUCAUACAUGAAUUCAAAGUGUCUAUAUAGGAAAAUCUGUCCCAUCUGUUGCAACCUCUGUAUUUUUGCAAAACACUUAGGAAGCCUCUUUUCCUUUUCAACAUUAUAAAAACGGAUAUAUGCUUUUUUUCUAAUGUGGUUUCGUUUGUUACCUUUAAUAUAUUUAAAUGGCUUGGAGUUUAUUUUAGAUGAGGUGUGAGAUAGCUCCUACGGUGUGUGUGUUAUGUGUAAACUUUUUUCUGAAUGUUAGCCAGUUGUUCAAGCACAUUUACUGAAGAAUGUGCGUUUCCCCUACUCAUUUGUGUGUGUUUGGAUGAUGUAAUUGAAUAGAGAAAUUUGGUACCAAAAGUACCUCCCUGGCCAUCUGGGAGGACAGAUUGACCUCGAGUGGCCAGGAUGGAGCUGUGGACCAAGAGGUUCAGUUGUUGUAACAGAGAAAGGGUGAGUGCCUGAAUUACAACAGGCAGGCUCACAAGAGGUGAGGAGAGAGGGCCAAUAGCCAUUGUCUCCCCACUCUCCUCCCCAUACUCCUCACCUUGCUGCCUUUCCCCAGCCUGUAAGCUUCAGCCACCAUCAAGGGAGGGGAUAGAACCCAGCAGCUAAUCAUGGAGAAUCCAGAAUCAGAUUACUGCACUUCAAUCCUGACUUCCCCACUCACAUUAGUCUUGUGAUCUCCAGCAAGUGUCUUGAUAUUUCUCGUCCUCAGUUUUCCCACCUGCAAAGUGAAGAUCAUUGGAACGCCGAUUGCUGAGCACAUCAGGAAGGAUGUAAGGAGGGAUGCCUGGGUGGCUCAAGUUGGUUAAGCAUCUGCCUUCAGUUCAGGUCAUGAUCCCAGAGUCUGGGAUCGAGCCUUACAUGGGCUCCCUGCUCGGCUUCUCCUUCCACUCUUACCCCACUCAUGUUCUUGCUCUCUCUCUUUCUCUCUCAAAUAAGUAAAUAAAAUAUUUUUAAAAAGAAAGAUGUAAGGAACU